GACGAACGCUGGCGGCGUGCUUAACACAUGCAAGUCGAACGGAAAGGCCCUGCUUUUGUGGGGUGCUCGAGUGGCGAACGGGUGAGUAACACGUGAGUAACCUGCCCUUGACUUUGGGAUAACUUCAGGAAACUGGGGCUAAUACCGGAUAGGAGCUCCUGCUGCAUGGUGGGGGUUGGAAAGUUUCGGCGGUUGGGGAUGGACUCGCGGCUUAUCAGCUUGUUGGUGGGGUAGUGGCUUACCAAGGCUUUGACGGGUAGCCGGCCUGAGAGGGUGACCGGCCAAAUUGGGACUGAGAUACGGCCCAGACUCCUACGGGAGGCAGCAGUGGGGAAUAUUGCACAAGGGGCGGAAGCCUGAUGCAGCAACGCCGCGUGCGGGAUGACGGCCUUCGGGUUGUAAACCGCUGUCGCCUGUGACGAAGCGUGAGUGACGGUAAUGGGUAAAGAAGCACCGGCUAACUACGUG
RNAcentral lists this ribosomal RNA (468 nucleotides) under uncultured bacterium. RNAcentral's name for it is "partial 16S ribosomal RNA". It matches the Rfam family "Bacterial small subunit ribosomal RNA", at positions 28 to 507 of the family's 1533-position model. The record is from RNAcentral.